This 467-nucleotide ribosomal RNA is filed under the name uncultured bacterium. Its description in RNAcentral is "partial 16S ribosomal RNA". It matches the Rfam family "Bacterial small subunit ribosomal RNA", at positions 29 to 507 of the family's 1533-position model. The record is from RNAcentral.
ACGAACGCUGGCGGCGUGCUUCACACAUGCAAGUCGAACGGAAAGGCCCUGCUUUUGUGGGGUGCCCGAGUGGCGAACGGGUGAGUAACACGUGAGUAACCUGCCCUUGACUUUGGGAUAACUUCAGGAAACUGGGGCUAAUACCGGAUAGGAGCUCCUGCUGCAUGGUGGGGGUUGGAAAGUUUCGGCGGUUGGGGAUGGACUCGCGGCUUAUCAGCUUGUUGGUGGGGUAGUGGCUUACCAAGGCUUUGACGGGUAGCAGGCCUGAGAGGGUGACCGGCCACAUUGGGACUGAGAUACGGCCCAGACUCCUACGGGAGGCAGCAGUGGGGAAUAUUGCACAAUGGGCGGAAGCCUGAUGCAGCAACGCCGCGUGCGGGAUGACGGCCUUCGGGUUGUAAACCGCUUUCGCCUGUGACGAAGCGUGAGUGACGGUAAUGGGUAAAGAAGCACCGGCUAACUACGUG